GACGAACGCUGGCGGCGUGCUUCAUACAUGCAAGUCGAACGAGAAGCUGACUUCGGUCAGUGGAAAGUGGCGGACGGGUGAGUAAUAUGUAGGAAAUCUGCCUUUAGGAGGGGGACAACAGAGGGAAACUUCUGCUAAUACCCCAUAUGAGCGUAGCUGAAAUGCUAUUCUUGAAAACUCCGGUGCCUAAAGAUGAGCCUGCAUCUGAUUAGCUAGUUGGUAGUGUAAUGGACUACCAAGGCGACGAUCAGUAGCUGGUUUGAGAGGAUGAUCAGCCACAAUGGGACUGAGACACGGCCCAUACUCCUACGGGAGGCAGCAGUAGGGAAUUUUGCGCAACGGGCGAAAGCCUGACGCAGCAACGCCGCGUGAACGAUUAAGCCCUUCGGGGUGUAAAGUUCUGUCAGUGGGGACGAAACUUGACGGUACCCACAGAGGAAGCACCGGCUAACUCCGUG
Molecule: ribosomal RNA, 458 nt
Filed under: uncultured bacterium
Lineage: Bacteria
Description: partial 16S ribosomal RNA
Rfam family: Bacterial small subunit ribosomal RNA
Source: RNAcentral